AUGAUCAGAUUUUUCUAUAAAUUCAUCAUCAGUGUGUGCUUCCUCUCAGGUUCUUUGAUUUGUAAAGAUGUUCAUCAAGGUCCUGCUGAUGUGUUGUGUUUGCCUGAAGAGAAUGUAACUCUAACCUGUAACCACAGCAUCCCAACUUAUGACACAAUACUGUGGUAUCAGAAAACACAUGGAGACACAGGCCUGAAACUCAUCGCAUAUGUUUAUUAUAGCAACCCAACAUAUGAAGGAAAUUAUGAAGGUAGUUUUACAGUGAGUGGAGAUGGACAGUCAUCAGCGUCUCUACAAAUGCCCAAAGCUACCCAAGCGCUGCACACUGCUCUGUACUUCUGUGCAGCUUAUUACACACAGUGUCACACACGUCCUCUCCUCAAAACAAAAACCUGUCUCUAA
Molecule: non-coding RNA, 402 nt
Organism: Neoarius graeffei (lesser salmon catfish)
Lineage: Eukaryota; Metazoa; Chordata; Actinopteri; Siluriformes; Ariidae
Source: the annotation of a RefSeq genome assembly